RNAcentral lists this ribosomal RNA (1529 nucleotides) under Acinetobacter sp. JH250-10. RNAcentral's name for it is "bacterial SSU rRNA". It matches the Rfam family "Bacterial small subunit ribosomal RNA". Lineage: Bacteria; Pseudomonadati; Pseudomonadota; Gammaproteobacteria; Moraxellales; Moraxellaceae. The record is from RNAcentral.
AGAGUUUGAUCCUGGCUCAGAUUGAACGCUGGCGGCAGGCUUAACACAUGCAAGUCGAGCGGGGGAAGGUAGCUUGCUACUGGACCUAGCGGCGGACGGGUGAGUAAUGCUUAGGAAUCUGCCUAUUAGUGGGGGACAACAUCUCGAAAGGGAUGCUAAUACCGCAUACGUCCUACGGGAGAAAGCAGGGGAUCUUCGGACCUUGCGCUAAUAGAUGAGCCUAAGUCGGAUUAGCUAGUUGGUGGGGUAAAGGCCUACCAAGGCGACGAUCUGUAGCGGGUCUGAGAGGAUGAUCCGCCACACUGGGACUGAGACGCGGCCCAGACUCCUACGGGAGGCAGCAGUGGGGAAUAUUGGACAAUGGGGGGAACCCUGAUCCAGCCAUGCCGCGUGUGUGAAGAAGGCCUUAUGGUUGUAAAGCACUUUAAGCGAGGAGGAGGCUACUUUAGUUAAUACCUAGGGAUAGUGGACGUUACUCGCAGAAUAAGCACCGGCUAACUCUGUGCCAGCAGCCGCGGUAAUACAGAGGGUGCGAGCGUUAAUCGGAUUUACUGGGCGUAAAGCGUGCGUAGGCGGCUUAUUAAGUCGGAUGUGAAAUCCCCGAGCUUAACUUGGGAAUUGCAUUCGAUACUGGUGAGCUAGAGUAUGGGAGAGGAUGGUAGAAUUCCAGGUGUAGCGGUGAAAUGCGUAGAGAUCUGGAGGAAUACCGAUGGCGAAGGCAGCCAUCUGGCCUAAUACUGACGCUGAGGUACGAAAGCAUGGGGAGCAAACAGGAUUAGAUACCCCGGUAGUCCAUGCCGUAAACGAUGUCUACUAGCCGUUGGGGCCUUUGAGGCUUUAGUGGCGCAGCUAACGCGAUAAGUAGACCGCCUGGGGAGUACGGUCGCAAGACUAAAACUCAAAUGAAUUGACGGGGGCCCGCACAAGCGGUGGAGCAUGUGGUUUAAUUCGAUGCAACGCGAAGAACCUUACCUGGCCUUGACAUACUAGAAACUUUCCAGAGAUGGAUUGGUGCCUUCGGGAAUCUAGAUACAGGUGCUGCAUGGCUGUCGUCAGCUCGUGUCGUGGGAUGUUGGGUUAAGUCCCGCAACGAGCGCAACCCUUUUCCUUACUUGCCAGCAUUUCGGAUGGGAACUUUAAGGAUACUGCCAGUGACAAACUGGAGGAAGGCGGGGACGACGUCAAGUCAUCAUGGCCCUUACGGCCAGGGCUACACACGUGCUACAAUGGUCGGUACAGAGGGUUGCUACACAGCGAUGUGAUGCUAAUCUCAAAAAGCCGAUCGUAGUCCGGAUUGGAGUCUGCAACUCGACUCCAUGAAGUCGGAAUCGCUAGUAAUCGCGGAACAGAAUGCCGCGGUGAAUACGUUCCCGGGCCUUGUACACACCGCCCGUCACACCAUGGGAGUUUGUUGCACCAGAAGUAGCUAGCCUAACUGCAAAGAGGGCGGUUACCACGGUGUGGCCGAUGACUGGGGUGAAGUCGUAACAAGGUAGCCGUAGGGGAACCUGCGGCUGGAUCACCUCCUU